RNAcentral lists this ribosomal RNA (1627 nucleotides) under Salmonella enterica subsp. enterica serovar Typhimurium. RNAcentral's name for it is "partial 23S ribosomal RNA". It matches the Rfam family "Bacterial large subunit ribosomal RNA", at positions 345 to 1874 of the family's 2925-position model. Lineage: Bacteria; Pseudomonadati; Pseudomonadota; Gammaproteobacteria; Enterobacterales; Enterobacteriaceae. The record is from RNAcentral.
GAAAGGCGCGCGAUACAGGGUGACAGCCCCGUACACAAAAGCGCAUGUGCUGUGAGCUCGAUGAGUAGGGCGGGACACGUGGUAUCCUGUCUGAAUAUGGGGGGACCAUCCUCCAAGGCUAAAUACUCCUGACUGACCGAUAGUGAACCAGUACCGUGAGGGAAAGGCGAAAAGAACCCCGGCGAGGGGAGUGAAAAAGAACCUGAAACCGUGUACGUACAAGCAGUGGGAGCACCCUUCGGGGUGUGACUGCGUACCUUUUGUAUAAUGGGUCAGCGACUUAUAUUCUGUAGCAAGGUUAACCGUAUAGGGGAGCCGGAGGGAAACCGAGUCUUAACCGGGCGUUAAGUUGCAGGGUAUAGACCCGAAACCCGGUGAUCUAGCCAUGGGCAGGUUGAAGGUUGGGUAACACUAACUGGAGGACCGAACCGACUAAUGUUGAAAAAUUAGCGGAUGACCUGUGGCUGGGGGUGAAAGGCCAAUCAAACCGGGAGAUAGCUGGUUCUCCCCGAAAGCUAUUUAGGUAGCGCCUCGUGAAUUCAUCUCCGGGGGUAGAGCACUGUUUCGGCUAGGGGGCCAUCCCGGCUUACCAACCCGAUGCAAACUGCGAAUACCGGAGAAUGUUAUCACGGGAGACACACGGCGGGUGCUAACGUCCGUCGUGAAGAGGGAAACAACCCAGACCGCCAGCUAAGGUCCCAAAGUCAUGGUUAAGUGGGAAACGAUGUGGGAAGGCCCAGACAGCCAGGAUGUUGGCUUAGAAGCAGCCAUCAUUUAAAGAAAGCGUAAUAGCUCACUGGUCGAGUCGGCCUGCGCGGAAGAUGUAACGGGGCUAAACCAUGCACCGAAGCUGCGGCAGCGAACGUAUCACCCAAGACAACUUUACGGAGUUGACGAUUGACGGAGCGAAGCGACGUCAAAGCGUUCAUUAAAGUCGAGUUGGCUUAGGGAUACGUUCGUUGGGUAGGGGAGCGUUCUGUAAGCCUGUGAAGGUGUGUCGUGAGGCAUGCUGGAGGUAUCAGAAGUGCGAAUGCUGACAUAAGUAACGAUAAAGCGGGUGAAAAGCCCGCUCGCCGGAAGACCAAGGGUUCCUGUCCAACGUUAAUCGGGGCAGGGUGAGUCGACCCCUAAGGCGAGGCCGAAAGGCGUAGUCGAUGGGAAACGGGUUAAUAUUCCCGUACUUGGUGUUACUGCGAAGGGGGGACGGAGAAGGCUAUGUUGGCCGGGCGACGGUUGUCCCGGUUUAAGCGUGUAGGUGUGUGUUCCAGGUAAAUCCGGUUCACUUUAACACUGAGGCGUGACGACGAGGCACUACGGUGCUGAAGCAACAAAUGCCCUGCUUCCAGGAAAAGCCUCUAAGCAUCAGGUAACACGAAAUCGUACCCCAAACCGACACAGGUGGUCAGGUAGAGAAUACCAAGGCGCUUGAGAGAACUCGGGUGAAGGAACUAGGCAAAAUGGUGCCGUAACUUCGGGAGAAGGCACGCUGACACGUAGGUGAAGUGAUUUACUCAUGGAGCUGAAGUCAGUCGAAGAUACCAGCUGGCUGCAACUGUUUAUUAAAAACACAGCACUGUGCAAACACGAAAGUGGACGUAUACGGUGUGACGCCUGCCCGGUGCCGGAA